RNAcentral lists this transfer RNA (64 nucleotides) under Dybowskyia reticulata. Its description in RNAcentral is "tRNA-Phe". Lineage: Eukaryota; Metazoa; Arthropoda; Insecta; Hemiptera; Pentatomidae. The record is from RNAcentral.
ACUUAGGUAGCUUAAAUUUAAAGCUUGACUCUGAAGAGGUCAAUAUAGGUUAACCUUCUAAGUA